Molecule: ribosomal RNA, 454 nt
Filed under: uncultured Prevotella sp.
Lineage: Bacteria; Pseudomonadati; Bacteroidota; Bacteroidia; Bacteroidales; Prevotellaceae
Description: partial 16S ribosomal RNA
Rfam family: Bacterial small subunit ribosomal RNA
Source: RNAcentral
ACGGAAGGCAGCAGUGAGGAAUAUUGGUCAAUGGGCGGAAGCCUGAACCAGCCAAGUAGCGUGCAGGAUGACGGCCCUACGGGUUGUAAACUGCUUUUAUAUGGGGAUAAAAAGCGGGACGCGUCCCGCCUUGUAGGUACCAUAAGAAAAAGGACCGGCUAAUUCCGUGCCAGCAGCCGCGGUGAUACGGAAGGUCCGGGCGUUAUCCGGAUUUAUUGGGUUUAAAGGGAGCGCAGGCGGCCUGCUAAGCGUGUGGUGAAAUGUAGUGGCUCAACCUCUGCACUGCCACGCGAACUGGCGGGCUUGGGUGCGGUGAACGCUGGCGGAAUUCGUGGUGUAGCGGUGAAAUGCUUAGAUAUCACGAAGAACUCCGAUUGCGAAGGCAGCUGGCGGUACCGUUACCGACGCUCAUGCUCGAAAGUGUGGGUAUCGAACAGGAUUAGAUACCCUGGUA